This 2678-nucleotide ribosomal RNA is filed under the name Termitomyces sp. Its description in RNAcentral is "23S ribosomal RNA". The stretch from base 26 to 2416 matches the Rfam family "Bacterial large subunit ribosomal RNA". The record is from RNAcentral. Lineage: Eukaryota; Fungi; Basidiomycota; Agaricomycetes; Agaricales; Lyophyllaceae.
AAAAAGCAUCCAAAAAUAUAUAAUAGAGUAAUUCAAAGGGGUUAUUAAGGAAAACUAAGGCAAAUUUAUAAAAAAAGGAGGUCUAAUACCAAAAGCUUACUAACAAUAAAGGAUUAAGUAAGCGCUCCUAAGGUAAACCUUAUUAAUCAAUUACUUCCUGAAGUAAAACAUUUUAUUAGGGAAAGGAAAGGAAAUCAACCGAGACUCCGAAAGUAAUGGUGAGUGAAAUCGGAUUAGCCUAAUUAAUUAAUAAAUUGAAAAACUUAAGUAUUUAGCUAGGCUUGGAAUCUGAAGUAAAGUAGUUUCUUUUUUGGUACUCUUUAUUUUCAAUUUCGGGCUCUUAUUCUUAUUUUUCUCCGCAGGCCGGGGCAAAAAGAAAGUUUUGCAAAAUAUCUUAAUUAGUAAUACUUUAAUUUAAAGCGAAUGCUUUACGCAAUGGACUCCGAAGAUGAAGUGUAACUCUAAAGAAGGUGAAAAAUUAUAAGACCUGUAGGUUUAUUAAUUAAUAUUAGAAUAAGAUAAAUACUCCUCCUACUUUUUAAUGAAGGACUAGGAAUAAAAGACUGCCUUCUGAUAAAUCCCUUUCAAAAAGAGGGGGAAGGGAGGAGGUAAAUUUAUUUAAAUAAAGUACGAUGAGAGAAAACUUGUCGGAAUAUAGGGGUACCAUCCUCUAAGGCUAAGUAUUAUAAAUUUAGCGAUAGUGAAUAAGUACUGUAAAGGAAAAGUUUGAAAAGCGAGUGGUAUACUAACAUGAAAUUUUUAAAAUAUCCCUUAUAUGAAUCCACCUUAAGGUAAUUAGGGACUCAUAAAAAGUCUUCAUAAAGGGGAAACAAUUAAGAAUUAAGAGGUGAAAUAGAUCUUGAAUUAGUAACUCUAUAAGCAGUCGAAAUUCUACAAGAAAAAAUGAAUGACGGCGUACCUUUUGCAUAAUGGGUCAGCAAGUUAAUAGGAGUAGCAAGGUUUUAAGCCUUAGCGAAAGCGACUGGACUAUAAUUUAAAAAUACAAAGAAAAAAUUUGUAUUAUAAGUACACAUAGUGACGGGUCAGUUACUUCUAUUAGACCCGAAGCCAGGUGAUCUUACCAAGACCAGAUUCUAAUGGAUCGAACGGGUGAAUGUUGCAUUAUUCUCCGAUGAGUUUUGGUAAGCGGUGAAAUGCCAAUCUUACCUGGUGCUAGCUGGUUUUCUACCGAAACAUAUUUAAGUAUGACGUCUACACAAAAUUUAUGGAGGUACAGCAAGGCAAUUCCCAACAAGUUUAAGGGUUGUGUACGAAGACGGAUAAGUUUUUAACACAUCAGCCUUUUAGGCGUUUAGGUUGCGGGGACCUCGAAAAUCCUACCUUUGGAAGCGAAUCUCGGAAUUACAUAAAUUGAUGGUAGAUAUUCAGACUACUCAUGCUAAGUUGGGUAGUCAAGACGGAAACAGCCGAGAACACUGAUCAAGGUCCCAAAUGAUUGUUAAGUGAAAUUAAGGACGUAGCAAUAUCGUAUACAGCUGUGAAGUAAGCCUGGCAGUCGCUACUUUUAAUGAUCGUAUGUAACAACGCAUCAGCAGUUUAGAUAGUAGCGCCGAAAAUUUAACGGGUCUUAAACAAUCAACCGAUAUCGUGUUGGUUUAUAUUAUACUAAACCUAGGUAGUAGAACAUUCAGUCAAACCCCUUAUAAAAUAGUGUUUCAUUAUUUUUUAGGUUACUGAAGAGAGAAUGCUGACAUGAGUAACGUAAAAAGAAGUUAUAAUACUUCUCGCCGAAUACGAAAGGGUUGCAAAUAGGAAAGGUUAAUCCGUUUUGCUUUAAUGCGGCCUCUAAGGACCAAAACCAAAGUUUUGGCUGAUGAGUUUAUAAUAGAAAGUCCAUUUUUUUAGUGGACCAGGAAAGGAAUAUUAUAAGUAAUAACAUUUUACUGUAUAACUACCCUCCUUACUACCCGUGAUUCCCCCCUUAUUAAUAUUAAUACGAUGUCGACUCAUCCUAUCCUCCGGGGGAAGAAGCUUGGAAGGGUUCGGCUGUUCGCCGAUUAAAAGGGUACGUGAGUUGGGUUUAAUACGACGUGAGUCAGUAUGGUCCCUAUCUUCUGGAGGGAGAAUAAGUAAAAAGGGGCAGACCUUCUAGUACGAAAGGAUCAAUAGGCUGUGUUUCUCUAGUGUACCAAUUGUUUAUACUAUUUUGUUUAAGACCCCUAUCUCCCCUUCUCUGUUGGAAUAAAGAAGAGGAAAGAUAAGUGGGUAAAAUCCUUGUGAACUUUAAGCUAAAAAGUUCUGUAUCUUAAAUACCUUUAGGGUUAAGAUCUCAAGUCACAAAGUGGGAACGCAUAGUUGGGUAGCCACAAACAUAAUAGAUAAGUGCUGAAUGUCUAUAAAGCAAGAAUCUAACCCCUAGAUACUUUAAAUAUGAUUAUUUAUCUUAAUUACCCAUUGGCCCAAAGAUUAUUUUUGUACGUAGUACGUAGUAUGUAGUACAUAGUUACUCCUUUUUUUUUUUAUCGUAAGGUAAGACCCUCCCUUGUAGCAUCCCUGUAUUCCAAAGGGGUUAUACGAGGGGAGAGGAGUAUUAUUGAGUAUAAUUUAGAUUAAAGAUCAUUAAUUAAGAAAUAGAACAUUUCUAGGUAGGCUGCAAAUAUAACAUAUUGUGAAAUAGUUAGUUUAGCAGUACUAAUUUAUAAAAAAACUAGGUGCCA